UCUGGUUGAUCCUGCCAGUAGUCAUAUGCUUGUCUCAAAGAUUAAGCCAUGCAUGUCUAAGUAUAAAUAGUACACAGUGAAACUGCGAAUGGCUCAUUAAAACAGUUAUAGUUUAUUUGAUAAUUGACAAUUACAUGGAUAACCGUGGUAAUUCUAGAGCUAAUACAUGCUUAAACGCCCGACUUUAUGGAAGGGUGGUAUUUAUUAGACUGAAGCCAAUAUUCCUUGUGUCUAUUGCGGUGAUUCAUAAUAACUGAUCGAAUCUCUUUUUGAGAUAAAUCAUUCGAGUUUCUGCCCUAUCAGCUUUCGAUGGUAGUGUAUUGGACUACCAUGGCAGUAACGGGUAACGAAGAAUUAGGGUUCGAUUUCGGAGAGGGAGCAUGAGAAACGGCUACCACAUCUAAGGAAGGCAGCAGGCGCGUAAAUUACCCAAUCCUGACUCAGGGAGGUAGUGACAAGAAAUAGCAAACCGGGAACCUCAUGGUUUCACGGUAUUGCAAUGAGAACAAUUUAAAUCCCUUAGCGAGAAUCAAGUGGAGGACAAGUCUGGUGCCAGCACCCGCGGUAAUUCCAGCUCCACUAGCGUAUAUUAAAGUUGUUGCAGUUAAAAAGCUCGUAGUUGAACCUCUGUCUGGGGCUAGUUUUGGCUUUGGUCAGGCUAGUUCUAGGCAUCCGCCUACAAGACUUAGAGGGCAUUCAGUUGUUCACUAGGAGGAGUAGGCAUUUUACUUUGAAAAAAUUAGAGUGUUUAAGGCAGGCAAUCGCCCGCAUAUAUUAGCAUGGAAUAAUAGAAUAGGACACUUUUCCAUUUCGUUGGUUAUUGGAAUCGUGUAAUGAUUAAUAGGGACAGUUGUGGGCAUUUGUAUUUAAUUGUCAGAGGUGAAAUUCUUGGAUUUAUUAAAGACAAACUAACGCGAAAGCAUUUGCCAAGGAUGUUUUCAUUAAUCAAGAACGAAAGUCAGGGGAUCAAAGACGAUCAGAUACCGUCCUAGUCUUAACUAUAAACUAUUCCGACUCAAUGUUUGACUGGCUUAUAUAACCAGUUGAGCGUUGUAUGAGAAAUCAGAGUCUUUAGGUUCUGGGGGGAGUAUGGUUGCAAAGCUGAAACUUAAAGGAAUUGACGGAAGAGCACAACCAGGAGUGGAUUCUGCGGCUUAAUUUGACUCAACACGGGGAAACUUACCAGGUUAAAACAAUAGUGGGAUUGACAGUUUGAGAGCGCUUUCUUGAUUGGUUGGGUGGUGGUGCAUGGCCGUUCUUAGUUGGUGGAGUGAUUUGUCUGCUUAAUUGCGUUAACGAACGAGACC
RNAcentral lists this ribosomal RNA (1307 nucleotides) under metagenome. Its description in RNAcentral is "SSU rRNA". It matches the Rfam family "Eukaryotic small subunit ribosomal RNA", at positions 1 to 1342 of the family's 1831-position model. The record is from RNAcentral.